Cebus imitator (Panamanian white-faced capuchin) is the source of this 827-nucleotide RNA transcript. It is a transcript of the gene named heterogeneous nuclear ribonucleoprotein A1-like, with no coding region annotated. The record is from RefSeq and is a predicted model, not a curated record. NCBI's taxonomy places the organism in Eukaryota, Metazoa, Chordata, Mammalia, Primates, Cebidae. The transcript has a single exon.
AUGAGAGAUCCAAACACAAAGCACUCCAGGGGUUUUGAGUUUGUCAACUAUGCACUGUGGGGGAGGUGGAUGCAGCCAUGAAUGCAAGGCCACACGAGGUGGAUGGAAGAGCUGUGGAACCAAAGAGAGCUGUCUCAAGAGAAGAUUCUCAAAGACCAAGUACCCACCUACCUGUGAAAAAGACAUUUGUUGGUGGCAUUAAAGAAGACACUGAAGAACAUCACCUAAGAGAUUAUUUUGAAAAGUGUGGAAAAAUUGAAGUGAUUGAAAUCAUGACUUACUGAGACAGUGGCAAGAAAAGGGGCUUUGCCUUUGUAACUUUUGAAGAUCAAGACUCCAUGGAUAAGAUUGUUUUUCAGAAAUACCAUACUGUGAAUGACCACAAUUGUGAAGUUAGGAAAGCACUGUCAAAGCAGGAGAUGGCUGGUGCUUCAUCCAGCCAGAGGUCACAGUAGUUCUGGAAACUUUGGUCGUGGUCAUGGAGGUGGUUUCAGUGGGAAUGACAACUUUGGUUGUGGGGGAAACUUCAGUGGUUGUGGUGGCUUUGGUGGCAGCCAUGGUGGUGGUGGAUAUGGUGGCAGUGGGAAUGGCUAUAAUGGAUUUGGUGAUAAUGGAAGCAAUUUUGGAGAUGGCGAAAGCUACAAUGGUUUUGGCAAUUACAGCAAUCAGUCUUCAAAUUUUGGACCCAUAAAGGGAGGAACUUUGGAGGCAGAAGCUCUGGCCUCUAUGGUGGUGGCGGCCAAUACUUUGCCAAACCACAAAACCAAUGUGGCUAUGGCGGUUCCAGUAGCAGCAGUAGCUAUGGCAGUGGCAGAAGAUUUUAAUUA